CUCACUCCCUUCCUGUCGCACCGCCUCCUUUCGUUUUUGCUUUCUCGUGUUUACUCUCCUUUCCGCCUCUCUGCCACGUUUCUACUUGGUUCCACAUUUGAAGUACGCAAUAGACAACGAGAAACUCACACGAGGACGCAGAAAAAGAGGUCGUUGCUCUGCUCCAUCUUACGACGCUUUCUUUCACGCUAAGUGGAUUCUUUCUCUUCUGUGUUGACGCCAUUCUAGUAGUUUCUAUAUCUUUCUGCUUUGCAGAGUGAAGUACGGCCCGUGCCUUCCUUUUCUCUGUAGGUGAUCGGGUGCGAGGGUUAACCGAAUCUUCUUUUGUGCCCCGCGUGCAUCUUUUCCCUGUAGCUCCUCUUACCGCGCGCGGGGUAAAACUUGACAGAACGGCGUCGCCGUCCUCAGGGUUGGACCACUCAACGUUUUUGUGGUCCACCACUUUGCUCGCAUCGGUAUCCUCGGUAGGUAUUCGCGGAGACACCCCCCCUCCUUCUCCUCCUCCGACGCACACACUGGUAAAGCUGAUAGAGGCACAAAUAGUUCCUGGUUUCUAGGAGUGGAGUCGCCUGCGCAACGAAAGCUAACCAUCAACAGCAUCUCACACAAACACAUUCGCCAGCCACGCAUACGUUUAUGAGGAGGAGGAGAAGACGGACUGUUUUGUGGUGCCUUUCUCGCCCUCGCCCUCUCUCUUUUUUAAUUCAUACACGCCGCUGUUGCUGUACGGUUUUGACCUCGUCGUGCUCCUGUCGAGUGUGUCAAAGACGGUUUUCCCAAUCGAGUUGACGCGAUUACGCACGCCUCCCCUCCCCCUAUCAGAUAUAUGCGCGCGCGCACACACACACAGCACACAGACAUCACCUUAGCGGAGCUCUUUCCUUUUCGUUUGGUUGUUCCGUGCGUUUGUUUCGGCUUUGCACGGCUUUACAGUUCGCAUCACCAGUGACCGCACUCGUGGAAGAGACCGACCGCUGUUAGGAGUGGCCCUCUCUCCCCCGACACCCUCAAAAACACACACACACACACACACACACACACGCACCACUUCUCCUCACGUGAGUGGGGCAAGCGCGUGCGUUUACCUUUCACAUUCGGUCAGAAGACUUUGUCUUUUGUGUCCUGUUUUUUUUUUCCGGUUUUUCUGUGUUGUGUGCUUGCCUCGUCCCUUUCUCUCGCUCUCUCGGUCCCUCCGCUUUCCCGAGCGGUCUGCUUUGGCACCCACAAAGGAAAGCGCACCACCGAUUCAGUGUUAGGUUUAUACAGGUCCGUUACCUUCGUCUUUCAGAAUCGCUAUCGGGCUCGUGAACCCCUGCUCUGACGCGCUCUCUUCUCCUUUCCUGUGCUUUUUUCUUUUUCUCUGUGCUCAGUUGCCACGUGGUGGGCAACUGCACCAGUAGCGGAGCCGCGUAGGAUUAGACUUGAAAGAGAAAGGGCGAGAAAGCCUGUACUCUGGUCUUCUCCCACUACACCCCAUCGCAUUUCUUUUGUUCGGUCCUCGUAGCCACCCGAAAUCCCCUGCCCUUUCCCUCACCGCGCCAUCGGCUCCCCUUAUUCACGCAGCAGCUCUUUCGAAACGGAGCGACCGAGGUAGAGUGCAGGUGUGUAUAUGUGUGUACCGGCCAGGGUCGCCUCUACUUUCACUCUUUUUUUUAUUUUUGUUCUCUGCUGACCAUUCUUUUCUUGUGUGUGUGUGUGUCUGCCUGUCUGUGUGUCGUUCACCCCUCCCCCUCCCCGAGAGCUUCUUCCUUUGUUCGUCGAAGCGCUGUGACUGGACCCAGCUUUCUGUCUACAAAGGGUUUCUCAUCACCGCACAGGACAGUUGUGAGAUUGAAAAGGUAAAAAAAAAAACAAGACGGCGGAGCGCAUUCUCCCGUUUCUUUUUCUUUCUUUUUGUGUGCGUGUUCUCUUUUCUCUUGUGUGUCUAGAGUGGUAGUCAAGUAGAAACACUCGCGCACGAACAGAUAAGCCUCUCCCCGCCACCGCCUCUGCUGCUUGGUUAGAGGGUCCGCACUGCUGCCACCUCUCUCUUGGCAGCGCUCUUAAUAUAACCCUUUCUUUGGUUUGUCUGUUCUCAUUCGUGGGUUGGCCUGUCAAGAGAACUCUAAGUUGCUUUUUUUUGAGUUAGUUCUUUCUCUACCCCUUCCCCCCACACACACGCACAAGGUACGAUGAACAUUCUACAUAAGAUUUUCACGCCAGGCAGCAAGUCGAAGAAAACACUGCUGCACUGUGACGUGGAGGUUGGGGACAGACAGCCCCACAGCUCCCCCAAGGUUUCUGCCUCCGUCCAAGUCAAGCGCAAGUCGACCGCGGCGAGCUCCGAUGACGACGACGACUGUGGCCCGCUGAUGCGGAGCGUGUCCAUGACGGUGGUCAGCGAUCCAGUGCCCACAUCUUUCAAGACCAAUUCGAGCUUUGCCAAUCAAUCGAGGCCGACGCAGGGUCCCGCCUCCUUCAAGUCGGCGCGUCUGGCUAACUCUUUCUCCAACGCGAGCUGCCAUCUCGAGCGGCACCACCAGCACACUGCUGCCCUCGCAGGUAGUGUCUCUCGCCACAACCAACGCUCACUUUUUGAUAAGAUACAGGGCAGCGGCAGCUUUGCGGCCGGCGAAACAAUGGUAUCAGGCGGGAGCUUCACGGCGAACGGCGGCGCGGUGAACCUGUGGCGGUUGCCGUGGACGCAGCAGAAGGUGACCAUGUGCCCCAACUGCCAUCGCCCGCGUCAGCGCGAUCGCACCAUGUUCGUCUCUCGCGCCAGCUACACUCUGCAGGAGACCACCAUCGAAAACGGCAUGGGCGACGACAUGAGUGAGGCGAACGAAGACAUGUCCUACAGCGACUCAGAGGGCAUGGGCGCGCCGAUGAGCGACUCCGUCACCUGCCGCUGUGGGGUCGUAUCGGAGGGCGACGCGCCACUGGAUUACGACGACUCUGCCGAAGCCACCGAGGAACACCCGCAGAUGUUUGUCGUCGAGACGCAGAAUCCGUCUGCAGUUCAGUUGCCAGGCACCAUCGCCGAGGCCUCGGACAGCGAAGGCGAAGGCCGAGAGGACCUCCGGCGGUCGUACAAACUGUCGCUGGUGUCUCCCCCCACCUCCACCUCGCUACGGCGUCGUGCGCCGCAUGUGCAGCCGCCGCUGAGCGGCGCCUCCACUAAAAGCAACACCGCCUCUGUGCCGAAGAGGGUGACCCAUUGGCUUCACGAGCAGCAGACCUCGGAGGCACCCGUCGUAUUGAAGCCCAAGGCGUCCAGAUAGGCACCGAGCAGCCGACAGCGAAGAGAACGUAUCAGUUUGCUUCUUUUCCUCUUUGUUGGCAGCUGAGCGAGUUACGUCGUCUUACAAUCUUUUUUUUUCUUUGCGUAUUUAGUUCGCCUCCUCCUCCGGCCUCUUUUCUUUCAAGCCAGCCUGAAAUCAUCGAAGGAGAAAGCGACUGCAACAUCCGCACCGCUCUUCUUUUGUUGAAGGGCCUCUCCCACUUGCUUCUCUUCCUGUUUAGGACUCUACAUUCUCUGCUUCGCGAACGCUCUAAGUGCAUGCGUUCUUUGCCCCUCCCCCUCCUUCCCUUUGUCUUGUGUGGCUUUGCAGCGUGGAAGCGAGUGCCGCCCUACACGUCUCGAUUUUCAUCAUUCCUCGCCGUUCCUUCAUCUUUCUUCUUUUUUUUUUCUCUCCUCUGGCUGGUCAUUCUGAGGUCCCGCCUCUACCUUACAAGACGCGUGUUUUUGUUUGUUUUUCGUUCGUUUUUCCCUUGCUUCGCACUGCGCUACAUCCUCUUCAAAAGACACUCGUAGUGUCGCUUGUGUGUGUGCGUGUGUGCCUCUUCGCCUCUGCUUCAUGAUGCUUGUGCCUCUGUGCAUGCGUCUGUCCGCGCUUGUGCAAGUGCAUUUUCUUUUUCUUCCGUAAAGAUAGGUGUUGCCAUGCUCUUUUCUAUUUGCUCCCCCCUCGCCUGUUUUCUUGGCAUGCGCGUGUGCCCAUAGUCUCAGUGGUUUGCCCCGACGCUUGUCUAGCGCGUGAGGUUGAAAGUUUCCGUGCACGUGCUGCACGCGCUUGUUUUGCGUGUGGACUUCAGCGGCGCGAGCAGCACCCGUGCGCCGGACGAGCAUGACGAAGUCCAAAUAAGUAAAAGAGAAAGCAUGCCGAGCGCUACGCUGAUGGAGGGCAAUCAAAAGGUGGACAACAAAAUAUGUACAUGCGCUUCGCUACCGUGCUGACUGGGCUGGGAAAGAGCCCGGCGUGUCACUUCAAAAGGGGCUUCGGCGUAAGCGAGGCACGCUGCAACCGGUGUCUUUUCGUUGUUUUUCUUUUUGCAUUUUGUUUUUGCCGCCCUUGCUUACCUCUUCGAAUCUCACUUGCUCGAUCGGUCGGCGACGUUGAUGGCCUCCACGACUCCAGCCCUUGCCGCCGCCGUGCAAACGCUGGCGCGUUGGGCCCUUUGAUACGCCCUUUCUAUUAUCGUCUUACCUGUAUACGUAGAUGUGUACGGAGCAGAGACGUAAAGACACAGGAAAGAGGAACACACAACUACUCCCAACUGGGCUCUCCGCGCAUGCGUGUAUGUGUAUGCGUUCGGAUGGCGACGAUGAUGAUACACAGUCACACACCGCCUCCUUCCUGGCACAUCCGAGUCUUCUCCUUUUUCAUGUUUGCCUUCCUUCUUCGCGGCGAUUUCUUUCCCUCCUAGUGCGUGCUUUUCCUCGAGCUGCCAUUUUUUUUUUCGCUCAUUUGUGUCAUAUGUCUGUGCGUCCCUCAGUUCCACGUUCCCAACCGCUCAUCCCUCCCUCCCCCUCCUCUUACUUUAGGACUAUUCUCCCACACCUCGCCUGCUUUUUUUUUGAUUUGUGUGUGAUUUUUGUUCCUCUUCCGAUAUCCUUUUUUCUUGCCUACUCUCCUUCCUCUCUUCUCUAGAGCGGCGUACCUCCCUCCCCAUCCCCCUGCGUGCCGCGACCGCGCGCGGGGCGUGGAGCAGUGGUGCUGGCGCCGGACCUGCUGCGAGGGUAGCGUGACCAGCCACGGCGCAGAGAAGCGCGUGUGGUCGCCCUUGUUGCGGGGUCGCUCUCCCGCCCUCAUGGCACCCGCCACGGGCGCCGCCACCGUGGAGGACGGCUUGGUGCGACGGACCUGGGCACGUGUGCCGGCGCCGCUGUAGCCGGUCGCGUGCGUCUGUUUUUGCCAUGGAGAACGUGCGACCUGGUGCGCCACGCGCGAUCCGCGGAUCGUCCGACGCUCGAGGCAGACCGCGUUUCACGCAAUGGUGUUGCGCGCAGGGAUGCCAUUGCACGCACCUCACUCGCGCUGCACGGGCCUCCGCCGUCGUGUGUAUAUCGCUGCUCCCCACAUCCUCCGUCCCCUGACCUGGGAACGGCGGGCUGUGAGCGCUCUGUGUGCGCGGGCGCAUGCGUAUCGGCGGGGCUCUUGGGGUGGCCCCUUCCGCUUGACGCAGCCACGCCUGUGAAAGAGGUGCGGGUCGAGGACCAGGUGGGGUGCCCUUUGCUGCCCCCGACUCACAGCAGCGUGCCACCCUGCCGCGGCACAUGCGGGCAUGCGGUCCAGGCACGCGCCCACCCCCCGCUGCAUCGGCGGAAAGGGACGAUGUGGACAGCGCGCUCCCACGGGCAACGAUGCCGCGCUGAAGCAGGCCCCUCCCCCUUCCAAGGUAUGCACAAGUGCGAGCGCUGUGCGCAGGCGCUGUCGGUGGGCAGCUGGCACGGUGUGCCGCACUCCGAGCAAGGUGUGCGGGAGGUGGGCAGGGCUCAGCCCCCGGCUGCGUGUGAGCGGAAUAUGCGGCAUCUUCUGCGUCCGACCGGGGUGGGCUGAUGCUGCACAGGUGCCGGAAGCGUGGGGGAGGACAGCACCGGUCUGCACCAUCGAGUCCUCCAGACUCCCGUGUGGAGAGACGCCGCGCCGCGCUGCGGCAUGCCGCGGCCUGAAGCGGGUGAGGGCGAAGCAUGGCAUGCAGGGAGAGUGCGCAGGGUCUCGGAGGGCCCUGGGCUGAGUCUGGGCAGCGUCCUCCUUGAGCCCACCCGGCACGCACAUAGAAGAACAUCCCCUGCUGCCCGCACGGCAGACGCCGCCGCUUCCUGCCCUCGAGCCGGAGCGUGGGCGCGGCCCGCGUGGAUGACGCCGUGUCGUCCACACCCGGGCCCGCGUGGCGCCGAUGACACGGCACGCAUGCGAGGAAGGGGCGAGGAAGGAGAGGGAGAGGUCAUUAGGCACGCGCCCCGAUGCAACGGCAGGGCGGCUCGCCCUUGACGACGAGGGCGCAGCCGUGGCGCGGCAGGGGUAGGCGAAGUACGGGUGCAUGCGUACGUGUUUUGCGGUUUUUUUUUUUUUCGUGGCCGAGCGGUCUCUACUGGAAAACGUUGUCCUCUUUUCGCUUUGCGUUGGUGCGUUUUCGCCUGCUCUUUUUUUUUUAGUUUUUUUUUUCCGCUUAAAGGCGUGUCAGAAAUGGAUGCGGUUUGUGAGGUAUAUGUGUGUAUGUGCUCUGCGGUGACAUCUGGAUUGAACGGUGGUUUUGUUUUCUGGUUUCGUGUGUGCGGGUACCAGGCAUCAGAGGAAAUGUUUUUGUAUCGGCUGUGGUGGAAUCAGAUGCGCUGUGGUUGGUUUUUAGCCUGCAGCUUCUUUUUUUUUGCCCGGCAUGCGUUGAUGCUGAGCUCAGUUGUGUGUUCAUCUUCGUGCCCUCGCAGCCUUGUGCUUUUGUUGCCUUUGUCUUGGUUGUGAUGUGCGUGCGUGGACGUUUGCAUGAUGUGAUGGCUUGUUGCUUGGUCAUAUGUGUGGACCAUUUCAUUUCUUGUUGGUCUCCACCCGCCGUGCGACUCUCUCUCUUUGCACCCGUACACGAACACUGACGCAGGCAAACAGUGAACGGAAGAGGCUUUGGGCCAUCCUCCGCCGCGCAGCCGCUGCACUUGUAUCCCUUCUUUUUUUUUUUCGUUUUCGCUCUCUUCUGUUCUGUCUCUUGCCUUUGGUUGUUGUUGCGCGUGUGCUUGCGCGUAACAUGUUUAUGCCAUGUAUAUAGAUAAAAUUUUUUUUUCUCAUUAUUAUUAUUCGUGCAUGUCUGUGUGAAGUUUUUUUUUCGAUCGUUUUUUUUUCUUUUAUGUUCGUGUUGUUGAUAUUGUUCAGCGCGUGUGUGCAGUUUGCGCUUCGCCGUUGCUGCUGUUGCUCGGUAAUGUUUUUUUUUUUUUCCUCUUCGUUGCUUGCGCCCGCCUCGUUCUUGGGUGUGCUGCUUCGCGCCUUCUUUGUGUGUCGUGUGCUCCUUUUCUGUGUACUCGGCAGGGCCGAGGAUGAAGGUCAAGGCUCCCGUGCUGAUGACCCCUUGCUUCCCCUCUUCCGCUUUUUUCUCCCGCCUGAUUUCAAGCUCUAUAUAUACAUGUAUACCGCCUCUGUUGUUCUUUGCUGUACACGUGCGUGCACGGACGACACCGACAGAGAGACACAUAAUCACCUGAUUGCCCCUUUGUGUGCCUCCUCCUCCUCAGAUCCCUCCACGCUCUCGCUGUCUUAAUGCCUUUUCGUUUUUUUUUUCUACUUUUCGAGUAGGUCAUGUGGAGUUCUGGAGAGCCCGUGGGGAAGCACGAAAGAAAGGGAGUUCCAAUACGCAAUGAAUAUGUUUCAUGAAGACAGAGAGGCUAGCAGGUUAGCCCCCUUUCUUUGCGUCGGUCGACAUCCCUUCCUGUGAGAGGAACAGAGCCGAACAGAGAAGCUGAGAAUGAGGGCCGACGACCCCGCAGCGACGGAUGAGAGGCCUCCUCGUUUGUAGUGUUUUGAUGGCUGUUCGCCUUGGGUCGGCGACGGAUGCCGUGCAGAUUGGGAAUCAGCAACUUCAAUCUGUGACAUCUGAGGAUGGAAAAAGAGAGGAGAGCCCACAGCGCAAAGUUGGCAGCAAACGCGACGUUCAUGUUCGAUAUGUCCGUCAUUGUGUUUUCACAGCUCUCUUCGUGAGUUGUUUCUCGUUUUAUCUCCUUAAUCGCCACGUCGCAUGUGAUGCAACAAGCAAGCGCGCCCAUUCUUGAGUCUGCGCUCAUCUUCGUUUUACGGCCCCCGGCUGCUCUCCUCGUUUCUUGUACAGAUUCUCCUGCUCCCCUGUUGCGCUGCCCCUGCGCAACUAUUCCGCAUCGCCGGCCUUUUUUUUUCUCUCUGCCGACGCUAGUGGAUUUCUUUUUUGUUGCAUCUCCUCCUUCUUGCGUCUCUUCGACAUCUGCCCUUCUCCGCAGCCGACUGACCGAACAGCCCGCCAUCGUUUUUUGUCUAUGAACGCCGCUAAGUUCAGUCGAGGUAAGCUGAAGCGGCUCGACUUGAUGCAAACCAAGAAGAGCGUUGUAGUGAAAAAGAAACGAGGAGGAGAGAUGCAGAGAAAACCACGCGCUUCGGUGCAGCCCAAGCACAUGCAGAAUCUCUCUUUCGUGAACGCGGGCCGAAUGAGAGUCGCGAAGCAGACUCUGCGCGCCUACCCCACGCCCGGCAUCACGAGAUGAAAAUCUCUCUCUAUAAAAACGGUGAGUUUAGUAAGGUCUGAAAUCAUGCGCACGGGCUAAAGGGAAAGCGCAUGAAGGAGUUUUGAACCAGCGGAAAACACGGCACAACGAAAAAAAAAAUUGUCCGGAGUCCCUGUGCGAAGGAAUGAACGUCAACGCGACAGUACGCGGUGCGACGGAGCGUCCGUUCCGUCACUCGUUGUUUGCUCUGCAAGCCUUUUUAUGUUGUUUCUGUAAUGCUCCACCAUCUUCCUUUCGACUAUGCACCCCAUUUUUUUGCGUUGUCACUAUAAUGUAGUGGGCGCUUUUCUUUUUCUUUGCCUUCUCGUUAAGAUUACUUGCGCACCGUGGAUGCGGAUGCAGUUCUCCGUUUCCUGGACGCUUCUCUGAUCCUUAUUCCGUCUUCCGUCAUUCUCUUUGAUUUCUUUGACUCUCCAUGUGGAUUCGCUCGUUGUGUUUUACUCACAGGCCUGAGCCUUCGUCAUCGCUGGAAUGCUUUCUUUUUCAUCGCGUGAUUGUCCUUUUACGUUCAAUACUCCUCUGUCUCUUUUUCACCGCCGACCCCUCUGUCUCUCCUGCGACACCGCUGCUAGGUCGGGUGCUGCAGGAUACGCGAACCGCUCCACCUUUCUUCUGGUUUCUCCACUUCUCUCUCUUUCUACGAGGCGCAGACAAGCCAGCAACGCUUAGCGAUCGCCAGAAAAAAAAAUCAUCAUGCGCUGUGCUCCUUUCUUGCCUUCGUUUUGUCUUUUCUAUUCCUAAUCUCCACCUCCACCUCCUCCUGCACCACCACUUCCCCUUUUUCAUCAGUACGCGCGAAAGUUUUUUUUUUUUGUUGUUGUUUGUCCUUCUUUCCACCGACAAGUACAGCGCAUGCUUUUUUUUUGUUCUUUCUCUGUAUCACUUCCUGCUCGACCGCUGUUCUCCAUUUUUUCUCCCUCUCUUAUGGCCCUCCUCCCUCUGAUAAGCUGAUUGUGCUUCUUUCCCUUUUUUUUGUAUGUUUGUGUGUUGUUCGUCGUCGUGCUUGUUGCACCUGAGAAUUCGCCCUCAGUCAUUCUCUCUUCCUCUUGUUUUGUGGUGUGCGUGUGCGUAUGUUGUGAAACAGCCGCACAUCUUGUGGGGGUCCCACGUACGCCCCCUAUCAAAACGAACGCGCCCUGCAGCGCUGGCGCUCCCUCUUGUUGUCUUCCUCUUCUUUUUCUCUCUCUGUGUGUGUGCGUGUGCUGUUCUCUGCUUUAACCGAGACUUUGUGGUUGUGAAGAGAAGCGUCGUCGGUAAUGCAACUGAAGAAAGAUGGGCGUCCAAGCGAGACUAAGAGGGAUAGAAGCGAAAAAAAGAAAGGAACUCACAACAAGUGACAUAUCAGACGUGCUGUUGAAGGACUCUACUCAUCACUGCCUUCGCGGCUUUUGUUUUUUCGCUGAAUGUUUUGGAUGCCGUCCUUCCAUCAUUCUGACUAAAAAAGAAAAACACUGCGACUAUCGUAUGCCUGUGCUUUGUUCUCCUGCUGCAGCCGAGGAUCGUGCAUGCGUGUAGUGGCGGUGCGCCGUCGCGUUCAUGUGGGCAAGGGGAUACGCGUCGGACAUGCGCAGUGGUGAGUGAGACUGCUUUUGAAUAACAUGAGUACCCCCUGGGCAGGCCUGCUCAACCUCACCUCCCCUUUCCCCCUUUUCAUACGUGUGUGUGUGUGUUAUGUUCUCCUUUUUGUUUCUUUGCCUAAACGUGGUGGACGCCUUUUUGUUUUCGUCUCUUCGCAGCAUCGGCAUAAGCGAACUAACAAUUCGCGAGUAAAGAAAUGCACAUGAAUGACCUUUGAUAGCGGAAUUGUUGCCGCCUCUCCUGCCUGCCCGUCACGCGCGUAGUGGAUAACCAUAUUUGACGGAUACUGUCGUCAUAUGACUUGAUGCGGGGUUCUUGCUGGCUCCUGGUGUGAAUGCUCAACGAUUGUUUUGUUUUCUCUUCUCAUAUCUCUGCUUCUCGUGCCACUCACUUUUCUCUGCUCGCUCUGUCCCUUGCUUGCAUGAUAUAUAUAUGUAUAUCCGAUGUGGUGUGUACUGCUCAACGCGCGUGUGCGCUUCCGACUGUCUUGCACAG
Molecule: unclassified non-coding RNA, 10567 nt
Filed under: Leishmania donovani
Lineage: Eukaryota; Euglenozoa; Kinetoplastea; Trypanosomatida; Trypanosomatidae
Description: gene:LdHU3.34.3590(CDS-product:hypothetical_prote in_conserved)
Source: RNAcentral